GCCGCGAUAGCUCAGCUGGGAGAGCGCUGCACUGAAGUUUCCACGCAAUGCAUAGGUCACCUGUUCAAUCCAGGUUCGUGGCA
RNAcentral lists this transfer RNA (83 nucleotides) under Clavulina sp. PMI_390. RNAcentral describes it as "tRNA-Phe". The record is from RNAcentral. Lineage: Eukaryota; Fungi; Basidiomycota; Agaricomycetes; Cantharellales; Hydnaceae.